UGGGGAAUUGUUCGCAAUGGGCGCAAGCCUGACGACGCAACGCCGCGUGGAGGAUGAAGGUCUUCGGAUUGUAAACUCCUGUUGAUCGGGACGAAAAGCUUCAACCUAAUACGUUGAAGACUGACGGUACCGGUUGAGGAAGCCACGGCUAACUCUGUGCCAGCAGCCGCGGUAAUACAGAGGUGGCAAGCGUUGUUCGGAAUUACUGGGCGUAAAGGGCGCGUAGGCGGCCUCCUAAGUCGGACGUGAAAGCCCCAGGCUUAACCUGGGAACUGCGUCUGAUACUGGGAGGCUUGGAUUCGGGAGAGGGAUGUGGAAUUCCAGGUGUAGCGGUGAAAUGCGUAGAUAUCUGGAGGAACACCGGUGGCGAAGGCGGCAUCCUGGACCGAGAUCGACGCUGAGGCGCGAAAGCUAGGGGAGCAAACGGGAUUAGAUACCCAGGUAGUCCCUGAGCGGGCUGGCAAGGCGCAU
RNAcentral lists this ribosomal RNA (471 nucleotides) under uncultured bacterium. Its description in RNAcentral is "bacterial SSU rRNA". It matches the Rfam family "Bacterial small subunit ribosomal RNA", at positions 355 to 825 of the family's 1533-position model. The record is from RNAcentral.